AGCAGUAGCCGCGGGAAUACGGAGGGUGCAAGCGUUAAUCGGAAUUACUGGGCGUAAAGCGCACGCAGGCGGUCUGACAAGUCAGAUGUGAAAUCCCCGGGCUUAACCUGGGAACUGCAUUUGAAACUGUCAGGCUGGAGUCUUGUAGAGGGGGGUAGAAUUCCAGGUGUAGCGGUGAAAUGCGUAGAGAUCUGGAGGAAUACCGGUGGCGAAGGCGGCCCCCUGGACAAAGACUGACGCUCAGGUGCGAAAGCGUGGGGAGCAAACAGGAUUAGAUACCCCGGUAGUCCCUGUCUCUUAUAC
RNAcentral lists this ribosomal RNA (303 nucleotides) under uncultured bacterium. Its description in RNAcentral is "partial 16S ribosomal RNA". It matches the Rfam family "Bacterial small subunit ribosomal RNA", at positions 507 to 807 of the family's 1533-position model. The record is from RNAcentral.